This 433-nucleotide ribosomal RNA is filed under the name uncultured bacterium. Its description in RNAcentral is "bacterial SSU rRNA". It matches the Rfam family "Bacterial small subunit ribosomal RNA", at positions 485 to 915 of the family's 1533-position model. The record is from RNAcentral.
AGCAAGCAUCGGCUAACUCUGUGCCAGCAGCCGCGGUAAGACAGAGGAUGCAAACGUUGCUCGGAAUUACUGGGCGUAAAGCGCGCGCAGGUGGUCCGGUAAGUCGGGUGUGAAAUCCCGGGGCUCAACCUCGGAAGUGCACUCGAUACUGCUAGACUUGAGUACUGGAGAGGAGAGCGGAAUUCCCGGUGUAGAGGUGAAAUUCGUAGAUAUCGGGAGGAACACCAGUGGCGAAGGCGGCUCUCUGGACAGAUACUGACACUGAGGCGCGAAAGCGUGGGAAGCAAACAGGAUUAGAUACCCUGGUAGUCCACGCUGUAAAACGAUGACGACUGGGUGUUUCGGGUAUUGACCCCCGAGGUGCCGAAGCCAACGCGUUAAGUCGUCCGCCUGGGAAGUACGGCCGCAAGGCUAAAACUCAAAGGAAUUGACG